Molecule: transfer RNA, 72 nt
Filed under: Uranoscopus bicinctus
Lineage: Eukaryota; Metazoa; Chordata; Actinopteri; Uranoscopiformes; Uranoscopidae
Description: tRNA-Asp
Rfam family: tRNA
About the family: Transfer RNA (tRNA) molecules are approximately 80 nucleotides in length.
Source: RNAcentral
AAGGCACUAGUAAAAGGAAUAUUACACUGCCUUGUCAGGGCAGAUUUGUGGGUUAAAGCCCCACGUGCCUUA